GCUAAGUUGGGGCGGGGAGCGGCGGGAAUGCAGAGGCUGCGAGCGUUAAGCGGAGUGACUGGGCGUAAAGCGUGCGUAGGCGGCUGAGUAAGUCGGAUGUGAAAUCCCUGAGCGUAACGUAUGAAUUGCAUUCGAUACUGGUCAGCUAGAGUAUGGGAGAGGAUGGUAGAAUUCCAGGUGUAGCGGUGAAAUGCGUAGAGAUCUGGAGGAAUACCGAUGGCGAAGGCAGCCAUCUGGCCUAAUACUGACGCUGAGGUACGAAAGCAUGGGGAGCAAACAGGAUUAGAUACCCUUGUAGUC
Molecule: ribosomal RNA, 300 nt
Filed under: uncultured Syntrophomonas sp.
Lineage: Bacteria; Bacillati; Bacillota; Clostridia; Eubacteriales; Syntrophomonadaceae
Description: bacterial SSU rRNA
Rfam family: Bacterial small subunit ribosomal RNA
Source: RNAcentral